UGCGCAGGCGGGAGAUUAAGUCAGUGGUGAAAUCCUGCAGCUUAACUGUAGAAUUGCCAUUGAUACUGAUUUUCUUGAGUGCAGUUGAGGUGGGCGGAAUGUGUAAUGUAGCGGUGAAAUGCUUAGAUAUUACACAGAACACCGAUUGCGUAGGCAGCUCACUAAACUGUUACUGACGCUCAGGCACGAAAGCGUGGGGAGCGAACAGGAUUAGAUACCCUGGUAGUCC
This 229-nucleotide ribosomal RNA is filed under the name uncultured bacterium. RNAcentral's name for it is "partial 16S ribosomal RNA". It matches the Rfam family "Bacterial small subunit ribosomal RNA", at positions 568 to 796 of the family's 1533-position model. The record is from RNAcentral.